CCUACGGGAGGCAGCAGUGAGGAAUAUUGGUCAAUGGACGAGAGUCUGAACCAGCCAAGUAGCGUGAAGGAUGACUGCCCUAUGGGUUGUAAACUUCUUUUAUACGGGAAUAAAGUUAGCCACGUGUGGCUUUUUGUAUGUACCGUAUGAAUAAGGAUCGGCUAACUCCGUGCCAGCAGCCGCGGUAAUACGGAGGAUCCGAGCGUUAUCCGGAUUUAUUGGGUUUAAAGGGAGCGUAGAUGGAUGUUUAAGUCAGUUGUGAAAGUUUGCGGCUCAACCGUAAAAUUGCAGUUGAUACUGGAUAUCUUGAGUGCAGUUGAGGCAGGCGGAAUUCGUGGUGUAGCGGUGAAAUGCUUAGAUAUCACGAAGAACUCCGAUUGCGAAGGCAGCUUACUGGAUUGUAACUGACGCUGAUGCUCGAAAG
RNAcentral lists this ribosomal RNA (424 nucleotides) under uncultured Pantoea sp. RNAcentral describes it as "bacterial SSU rRNA". It matches the Rfam family "Bacterial small subunit ribosomal RNA", at positions 338 to 759 of the family's 1533-position model. The record is from RNAcentral. Lineage: Bacteria; Pseudomonadati; Pseudomonadota; Gammaproteobacteria; Enterobacterales; Erwiniaceae.